UUUUUUUUUUUUUCUUUUUAGCCAAAGGAGCCUGUGCUUUUCCCUUGUCUUGAACAAUAGAUCUUUCAAAGACAAGAAUCCAAUGACCUUCUUCAAGGCAAAACUUCCCUUCUUCCCCGUCUUCUCUAUGGCACUGUGGUCCUUGCUGGCUCUGCUUACUUUCUUCCAUACUUUGUAUUCAUGUAAUCCUCAUUACGAUAUUAAGUCAGAUUUAUUUUGUUUUCCACAUCUGUUGUUUUCAGCCCUAUUGAUGGCAUUACAUGGCAAGAUGAGCUUGGGAAAGAAAAUAACCAAAGCGUGUGGGGUUUCAGGAGUAAAUAUGGAGCUCUCUGCCUUUGAUCCAGAAAGUCCUGUUUCUCCUACAAAGCUUCCUCUAUGCAUCUUGGAAAACUCUAGAUGCUAAAGACUUGGGAAGAGAAAAGGAGACAGAACAGAUAAUAAAAAUCCUGGAAUUAAAAACAAGGACUCUUUACACAGCUCUUCAAUAUUAAUCUAAAAAUUAAAGAAAAAAGUUCAAGCGAAUUUGUGAAAAUAGCGUAAGAAAAUACAUUCAUAAAAGAAAUUGACAUACGUAACUUAAGACACAAAAUUACUGCUCAGAUUAUUGUCUGAUAGGAAAAAGAAGAAUUCUAUCAACACGAGCAUAUUAAUGUUUCUAUAAAAUUUGAAAUUUCCUGAAAUUCUCUACUAGUAUUGCAAUAUCAGAACUUGAAGAAUUUAAUUUUCUAUGAUGGUUCAUCUCCACUGACUUAGUUAUUGACUAAAGAAAGAAAUCAUUGGUAGCAAUGUGGACCUGGUUCAUUGUCUGGCUGAUUCAUAGCUCUUGACUGGCUUAACCAUAACAACUUAAAAUCUAACCGAUAUGUUUUCCUAGAAGAGCUAAUGAAAAUUCUCUGGGCAUUGAAAUCUAUCCCUAAAUGUGACUUUAAUUUUGCCUCACUAUUAUUUAAUCCCUGCUUUUCUCCAGGUAAAAAAACCAUCAAAUUGUAUGUCAGGUUUUCCCCACUUAUUUGGGUCCCCAAGAAAUUAUAGUGAAUUAUUUAAACAUUUUAAUUACAUUCUUGUUAGGCAGGAGGAGUACCAUUCCCUCUCUACAGCUCCUCUCAAAAAAAUCCGUAAGUGGAUUUAUGGGUGUGAAUGGGGAAGAAGUUGUGCAUAGUGUUUAGAAAUGUUAAAUCUGAGCUAAGAGAAAAUGAGUCCUUCUGCCAGCAGUGAAAAACCAGGGAAUCCUUUCAUUGUCACGAGCCAGUAGCCACCAGAUGCUUAGAAUUCCAUGUAUUUUAAGGACAAACCAUUCAGUGACUCCUUUGACACUCCAAGUAUGCCAAUAAUUCAAUGUAUUAGUCGGAUGCAAAUUUUAUACAAUAAGGUAUGGAAAGCAAACUGUAAUUGGGGGUGCCUGAGUGAAUGGAGCUCUAUCCUUUGACAGGGCCCAUUGUUGAACUCCAGCCUAGACCUCCGACCCGUUACUUUGCAAGGAUACAAUAGCCUUUGAUAUGAGAUGGUGGGAAACGGACUUAGAGACUCAUUUCACAUUCACUUGCAAUUCAUCAGUUUGGCGAGGACUUUUAGCAGCUUUAAUGACCACAGCAAUUGAUGGUUAAAUCAAUUUGUGCCGGUGACAGCAUGGCGGGCCUGUAGACUGUAACAAUCCAGGAUUGCACCAGGCAGAAAAGACUCUGUUAUUCAGAUGUGCAUGGCUCCUGCUCAGUUCACAGGGAGAACAACAGGGAGACAGUCUGUCACCGGGCAGGUCCCCCAAGAAUACACACAUUCACUCCAGUUGACCACACAAUGCCUAGGCUUCUUUGUAAAGUGGUGCCAUAGAUUUUUUUUUUUUUUUUAAGUAUUGUUGCAAGUAAAAAUAUACAGUAGAAGAAAACGAUUUCUAAUAUUUAACUCUAUCCUAAGAGAAAGUAGGAAACCAGAAAGAAUUUAACCUUUGUUCCCUUGAUCAAAAUGGGUGGUCCUACCCCCUGUAACCAGGAGACACACUUCCCCCCCAAAAAAAAAAUAUAGAAAGAGAGGAAUAGAAAAUCAACAGCAGAGAUUAGGACAGAGGAGGUUUAUGUUUAGAGGGAAAAAGGUGAAAGGAAUUUUAAAAAACAACAUUGCAUUGUGUCAUAAAGAAGGAAAUACUGCUCCCUCUUCUGUUUAUAAGAGGGAUUUUUUUCCAAAUCCUUAGAUCCAUCUUUUUAAAUUUUUAAAUGUAAAUGUUUAUAAUGAAAAAAAUGACAGUGUCAGCAUGGUGGGACAGCUUAUGUGAUUUAUUUAUAGUAAAAAAUGUUAAAUAAAUAAAUACUUUGCUGAGCCUAUGUUUUAAUGUUUGAAAACUGUAUAACCAAAAUUGACAUUUUAAAGGUGGAGGAAGGGACAAAAAGUCAUUUCACAUCAACAAAACUUUUUGUGUCAGCAUAAAUGAAUGUUAGAAUGACUAAUAAAAUUAUACACAAUCCAAGUCUGCAUAAAAUGUACUAAGUAAUGCAUCUAACUCUAAGUUCAAAUAAGGGGGAAAGCCAAUAUAUUAUUUAAAUGUCUGAAUUAUAAUGGAUGAAAUAACCUAAGGUCCAUAGACGUACCUUAAGGGACCUCUAAGAUAAGAGAGAUAAUUUAAAUUACUGAUUAGGAUUUUUUGAAAAAGGCAUUAAUGCUACAAUUUUCACAGAACAGAAAUGAUCUCCCAAAGUAUAGAAACAAUAUACUUGUAGCAUUAAAUUCAGGAUUUAAUUAAACCAACUAUAAAGAUGGAAUGUCUAUAAUCCUGAGUUAGCUUUUAUGCCUUAUUAAAAAUCCGACCAAAUGAUACAAUUAUUUUAAACUAUGGUGGAAAAGGGGGAAAAUAAUCUUUUGCGGGACACCAGUAGAUCGAUGAGAAAUGUAGUGCACAAAACACGCAGCUAUAGUACUGCAGAAAAAAAAUGUAAACAACAUUUUCCACCAGAUUUGUCUAAACAUUGAAAGAAUAUUGAGGUUGUGCAGAGGAGGUCUUGGCACUGAGUCCAGAAGCUGUACUUGGUAACUGGGGAGAGGGAAGAGGAGGUGAGUUUCCAUGGCAACACGGGUGCCCAAAGCAAAUGGAACUAGCAAGCAUCUUCCCAAGGGAGGCAGGGAGCAUGGAAAGUGGAAACAGAGGGGGAAGGGCAGUGGCAGCUUCUGAAAAGCUGGUUUAUGCUGAAUAAGUGUUUUGUGCAAAGCUGUGACGUGAUCCAUAUCAGAGUGUGUAUUCUGAGAGAGCUGACAUCCCCUUGUAACAUACUGCUUCAGGGAUUAAAGACCGCUUUUGCCUGGGAAUACAUAUUUGUCUUGCAAUUUCCCUUUUGGAUGUAUAAAGAUACUGAAGUCAUCUUGAUGCUCACACUGUCUCCUACCUUCACAAUAAAAUAAUAGGAGGUGACUAGAAUUUAAAUUUAUCUGUCUUUUUCUCUGUCAUUGUACCUGGGAGUCAAGUUUCUAGGGGAAAUAAAAAACCUUUGAUUUCCUUUUCUUAGCAGUCAAAGCAGAUUAGAAGUGGUUUCUCAUCCUUCUGAUUAUGAAACUGUGAUUCUCUCCUGACAACAGUGUUUCCUGUGUCACAAGGCAGUAUAAUAUUCCUAAGGAAUGAGACUAUAUAAAAGUUCACCUUAUUAAUCUGAUGAAAAUGAUCAAGAUUAAUCUUAUCUCAUUAUAAAAGGCUCAAUGUAAAGACUAAAACAGUAAUGGCACCAAGAAUAGGUGACAGAUGGAGAGCUAACUCUCUUCAACGCUCUGGAAAUAAACACGUUCCACAGAAGAAAGCCCUUUCAUUAGAGGUCAGAUUAUAUUGCAAAUUAGUACCAAGUAGAAGGGCCUGAUAAAAUAUGGACUUGGUUGCACAAGAGUUAAACUUACACCAUCACCUGAUGGUUUUAAUAAUAAAAAUCUGGAUCAGACUCUACACUGGUGUAUAAACUCUGUGAGGGCCAUGGCUAUGUCUACCUUUUUCACAUAAUAUUCCCAGCACCCCACAGAACCUGCACUUAGCAGAUACUCAAUACAUAUUUGUUUACUAUUGAAAAAGCAAGAUGAACCAUUUUUCAAAAUUGUGAGAUAGGACUUUAAAUGCACAGGAAAGAAAUGAACUUUUACUCACCAUCUUCAACAUCAUUAUUAAGGCCGCGUGCUCAUGUUCUCUUAUUUAAUACUCAACAAUACCUGGAAAGGUAAUUAUUAUCCCUAUUUUACAAAUGAGAAAAGAGAAUCCCAGGAGGGCUGUGACUUUCCCAAACUUACACCUCUGAAGAGGCUGAGACUCAAAUCCAGUCCUAUUCAAAUACCAUCCUUGUGAUGGUCCAGCUUUUCCACACUCCAUACUAUAGAUCAGAAUGCACAGACUCACUCCCACUUUGGUUUGAUCUGAAGAAUGAAAAUGCAAAGGAUUUUCUCAUUAUACUCAUACACCCCUUGGGACCCUCUGAAAGCUCAGGGAAUGAGGCACUGGCUCUACCAUCAACCCUGCCCCUUGGAAGGCAGUGGAGGGCAGGACCUGAAAUCCAAAGUUUCAUUAACCAAGUAUAAUUCUGAGACCUCCUGUACUGACCCAGCUUUUUCCAGAUCCAUCAAAACCCCUUCUCUUCUUUUAUCCUCCCUUUACUAAUUCCAUUUUUAAAAAUCAGUUCCAGUGAUUCCAACAGAACCUCCAUUCACUACCAAUAUGUUUUUCUAUGAACAUAGUCUCGUCAUAGAAUAAUCCCUCCACUGCACUUUCAUGGUUUUCUCUUUCAUAUGAAAAAGUUGUUCAUUUUUCUUCCCCCUAUAUUUCAAGAGCCAUAACACUCCUGAAUUCCCCCCAACAUUUUCAGACCAUCCUUCUUUCACCUUUGUUCAAAAAGAUAGGAUGCAGGAGUUCCCAUCAUGGCUCAUUGGGCUGAGAUCCCAACAUUGUCUCCAUGAGGAUGCAGGUUUGAUCCCUUGCUCAGUGG
This 4937-nucleotide long non-coding RNA is filed under the name Sus scrofa (pig). RNAcentral's name for it is "lncRNA (ENSSSCG00015033425.1)". The record is from RNAcentral. Lineage: Eukaryota; Metazoa; Chordata; Mammalia; Artiodactyla; Suidae.